UCGAGGAUCUUCGGCAAUGGGCGCAAGCCUGACCGAGCGACGCCGCGUGCGCGAUGAAGGCCUUCGGGUUGUAAAGCGCUGUCGAGGGGGAGGAAGGUCCGCAAGGGCUUGACCUAUCCCGGGAGGAAGCACGGGCUAAGUUCGUGCCAGCAGCCGCGGUAAGACGAACCGUGCGAACGUUGUUCGGAAUCACUGGGCUUAAAGGGCGCGUAGGCGGGCCUGCUUGUCCGGGGUGAAAGCUUUCGGCUUAACCGGAAAAGUGCCUUGGAAACGGCAGGUCUGGAGGGAGGUAGGGGCAGCCGGAACUUCCGGUGGAGCGGUGAAAUGCGUUGAUAUCGGAAGGAACGCCGGUGGCGAAAGCGGGCUGCUGGACCUCUACUGACGCUGAGGCGCGAAAGCCAGGGGAGCGAACGG
RNAcentral lists this ribosomal RNA (414 nucleotides) under uncultured bacterium. Its description in RNAcentral is "bacterial SSU rRNA". It matches the Rfam family "Bacterial small subunit ribosomal RNA", at positions 355 to 775 of the family's 1533-position model. The record is from RNAcentral.